GGCUAAAACUCAAAGGAAUUGACGGGGGCCCGCACAAGCGGCGGAGCAUGCGGAUUAAUUCGAUGCAACGCGAAGAACCUUACCAAGGCUUGACAUACACCGGAAACGGCCAGAGAUGGUCGCCCCCUUGUGGUCGGUGUACAGGUGGUGCAUGGUUGUCGUCAGCUCGUGUCGUGAGAUGUUGGGUUAAGUCCCGCAACGAGCGCAACCCUCGUUCUAUGUUGCCAGCGCGUUAUGGCGGGGACUCAUAGGAGACUGCCGGGGUCAACUCGGAGGAAGGUGGGGAUGACGUCAAAUCAUCAUGCCCCUUAUGUCUUGGGCUUCACGCAUGCUACAAUGGCCGGUACAAAGGGCUGCGAUACCGUAAGGUGGAGCGAAUCCCAAAAAGCCGGUCUCAGUUCGGAUUGAGGUCUGCAACUCGACCUCAUGAAGUCGGAGUCGCUAGUAAUCGCAGAUCAGCAACGCUGCGGUGAAUACGUUCCCGGGCCUUGUACACACCGCCCGUCAAGUCAUG
This 514-nucleotide ribosomal RNA is filed under the name Curtobacterium sp. RNAcentral's name for it is "bacterial SSU rRNA". It matches the Rfam family "Bacterial small subunit ribosomal RNA", at positions 892 to 1406 of the family's 1533-position model. The record is from RNAcentral. Lineage: Bacteria; Bacillati; Actinomycetota; Actinomycetes; Micrococcales; Microbacteriaceae.